Molecule: ribosomal RNA, 460 nt
Filed under: uncultured bacterium
Lineage: Bacteria
Description: partial 16S ribosomal RNA
Rfam family: Bacterial small subunit ribosomal RNA
Source: RNAcentral
CCUACGGGAGGCAGCAGUGAGGAAUAUUGGUCAAUGGACGAGAGUCUGAACCAGCCAAGUAGCGUGAAGGAUGACUGCCCUAUGGGUUUUAAACUUCUUUUAUAUGGGAAUAAAACAGUGUACGUCUCCUCUCUUGUAUGUACCAUAUGAAUACGGAUCGGCUAACUCCGUGCCAGCAGCCGCGGUACUACGGAGGAUCCGAGCGUUAUCCGGAUUGAUUGGGUUUAAAGGGAGCGUAGGUGGAUUGUUAAGUCAGUUGUGAACGUUUGCGGCUCAACCGUAAAAUUGCAGUUGACACUGGCAGUCUAGAGUACAGUAGAGGUGAGCGGAAUUCGUGGUGUAGCGGUGAAAUGCUUAGAUAUCACGAAGAACUCCGAGUGCGAAGGCAGCUCACUGGACUGCAACUGACGCUGAUGCUCGAAAGUGUGGGGAGCAAACAGGAUUAGAUACCCGUGUAGUC